CUGAUUAGGGUGAUCGACAAAUAAUCAUUUGUGGAUCUUUGUAGCUCGCUUUCACUGCAUCAACCGAAACGUGAAAAAUCAUAUACGAAUUGGCUGCGAAGAGCAAUCUUAAGCCUGUGACAUUGGAACUAGGAGGAAAAUCACCAUUCAUAGUGUGUGAGGAUGCUGAUGUUGACAAGGCAGUCGAACUUGCACACUUUGCUCUGUUCUUCAAUCAAGUUCAUUCCAUUUACGCUAUCUACUUUCAAUUCGCUAAGUGAUAGGGCCAGCACAUGUGAAUAAUUAACGUAGUUAUUACUAUAAUGUUAUUAUUAGGGUCAAUGCUGUUGUGCCGGGUCACGUACUUACGUGCAUGAACGGAUAUACGAUGAGAUUUUUGAGAAAGCGAAGGCAACUGCUUUGAGACGUGUUGUCGGUGAUACAUUUAAGAAGGGCUUGGACCAAGGUCCCCAGAUUGAUUCAGAACAGUUUGAGAAAAUCCUCCGAUGCAUUAGAUCAGGUAUCGAAUCCAAUGCUAAUCUGGAAUGUGGUGGUGAAAGAAUUGGCACAAAAGGCUUCUUAAUUUUUCCAACCAAUUAACGGUCUUCUCAAAUGUUAAGGUGGUGUUGAUAUUUCUUAGUGCUUUACCAGACAUAUUGAUAAGGUUUUUUGACAAUGAUUGCUUACUCAAGUCAUUGAUCAGGAUGAUAUAUAUGCUGAUAGCACAAGAUGACAUCUUUGGCCUAGUCCAAACUAUCCUAUGACUUACAGAACUUUAAGACUCA
Long non-coding RNA from Glycine soja, 764 nucleotides. RefSeq lists it as uncharacterized. The record is from RefSeq and is a predicted model, not a curated record. The transcript has 2 exons. Lineage: Eukaryota; Viridiplantae; Streptophyta; Magnoliopsida; Fabales; Fabaceae.